Molecule: unclassified non-coding RNA, 347 nt
Filed under: uncultured bacterium
Lineage: Bacteria
Description: contains 16S-23S intergenic spacer region
Source: RNAcentral
UGCAUCCCACCACGCGGGGCGGCCAGAUUCGGACACUGGGGAUGCUGCGGGAGUUGCAUCGCUCUCACGAAAUCCAUUUCGCCGCUCUCGAACGGCCUGAGGACGGCAGCGAAGGCGUGACGCGCAGCGCCGAGUAUUCCUCGCGAAGCUAUCCCAUUUCCCACGAUCCUCCGAUGGCCAGGUCGGCGUCCUUUUACACCCAGUCGAUCGGUAGCGCGUUCUCCGGCAUGCCUCUGGCCGUCAGCCGCUGGCGCUCGGCGGCCCUCCGGCGGCGCGUCGAACAGCUUCUCGAAGAACAACGGUUCGACCGUGUUGUCUGCGAUUUCCUUGCCUCUGCCCCCAACGUG